RNAcentral lists this ribosomal RNA (492 nucleotides) under uncultured bacterium. RNAcentral's name for it is "partial 16S ribosomal RNA". It matches the Rfam family "Bacterial small subunit ribosomal RNA", at positions 29 to 507 of the family's 1533-position model. The record is from RNAcentral.
AGUGAACGCUGGCGGUAGGCCUAACACAUGCAAGUCGAACGGCAGCACAGUAAGAGCUUGCUCUUACGGGUGGCGAGUGGCGGACGGGUGAGGAAUAUAUCGGAAUCUACUUUUUCGUGGGGGCUAACGUAGGGAAACUUACGCUAAUACCGCAUACGACCUACGGGUGAAAGCAGGGGAUCUUCGGACCUUGCGCGAUUGAAUGAGCCGAUGUCGGAUUAGCUAGUUGGCGGGGUAAAGGCCCACCAAGGCGACGAUCCGUAGCUGGUCUGAGAGGAUGAUCAGCCACACUGGAACUGAGACACGGUCCAGACUCCUACGGGAGGCAGCAGUGGGGAAUAUUGGACAAUGGGCGCAAGCCUGAUCCAGCCAUGCCGCGUGGGUGAAGAAGGCCUUCGGGUUGUAAAGCCCUUUUAUUGGGAAGGAAAAGCAGCAAGUUAAUACCCCGCUGUUCUGACGGUACCCAAAGAAUAAGCACCGGCUAACUUCGUG